RNAcentral lists this RNase P RNA (399 nucleotides) under Pseudopedobacter sp. RNAcentral's name for it is "RNase P RNA component class A". It matches the Rfam family "Bacterial RNase P class A". Rfam says of the family: Ribonuclease P (RNase P) is a ubiquitous endoribonuclease, found in archaea, bacteria and eukarya as well as chloroplasts and mitochondria. Its best characterised activity is the generation of mature 5'-ends of tRNAs by cleaving the 5'-leader elements of precursor-tRNAs. Lineage: Bacteria; Pseudomonadati; Bacteroidota; Sphingobacteriia; Sphingobacteriales; Sphingobacteriaceae. RNAcentral also lists the same sequence under 1 other name. The record is from RNAcentral.
CAGGGAAGCAACGUGGUCGCGCCCAUACGGGUGAGGAAAGUCCGGGCAUCACAGGGCAGAAUGCCUGCUAACGGCAGGGCGGCGAGUAAACAGCAGCGCAAGUUAGGAGAAUUGGGCUGAAUGUGCGAAGCCGACGGAAAGUGCCACAGAAACGAGACUGCUGCACGCCCUUUUGGGUGUGUAGUGAGGGUGAAACGGUGCGGUAAGAGCGCACCCCUGUCGCAGGAAACUGCGAGGGCGGGUAAACCCCAUUUGAUGCAAGCUCCGAACGGCGGAGGGCGGCCCGUCCUUUGAGGCCAAAGAGAGCGCUCGAGCGGUUUGGUGACAAACCGCCCAGAUAGAUGACCACGACCAGUCGCAAGGCUGGGACAGAACCCGGCUUACUCCCUUCCCUCGAGC